AUCUUGGGCAGAAAAUACCAAGAUCAAUGGUACCUUUAAUAUAUCUAAGUAUCCUUUUUGCUGCAAUAAAAUGAGUCUCCUUUGGAGAAUGCAUGAACCUUGAAAGAAUGCUCACAGCAAACAAUAUGUCAGGUCUGCUUGCUGUGAGAUAUUGAAGGCUGCCAAUUAAGCCUCUAUACAACCUUUCAUCCACUUUUUCAGAUUCAUCAUCCUUGCUAAGCUUGAUACUUGUUGUCAUAGGAGUCCCUACUGGUUUACAAUCCUGCAUUUUGAAUCUUUUUAGGAUGUCUGAAGCAUACUUCUUUUGGCAUGUAAAAAUGCCAUGGCUGGAUUGCAUCACUUCCAUUCCAAGGAAGUAGUUCAUUAUUCCAAGAUCAGACAUCUCAAACAUCUUCUUCAUUUCAUCUUUGAACUCUUGGAUCAUUCCAAGUUCACUUCCUGUGAUGAGCAUAUCAUCUACGUAAAUAGAUACAAUUAGAAAAUGGUUACCACAGGAUUUCACAUACAAAGUUGCUUCAUUUUGGCUUCUGUUGAACCCAAAUUGAAACAGAUGUGUGUCCAUUCUGUCAUACCAAGCUCGGGGAGCUUGUUUCAACCCAUACAAGGCCUUCUUUAGUAGAUACACAUAAUCUUCUUUAUCUUUAACAACAUACCCAUCAGGUUGCUCUACAAAGAUUUCUUCAGCAAGAAAUCCAUUCAAGAAGGCAGACUUGACAUCAAGUUGGUGAAUCUGCCAAGAGUUAUGUGCUGCAAGUGUAAUGAGAAGUCUAAUAGUAUCAUACCUUGCUACUGGAGCAAAGGUCUCUAGGUAGUCCACACCAUAUUGCUGAGCAUAACCCUUUACCACCAAUCUAGCCUUGUAUUUGCAUAUUGACCCAUCUGGAUUGAGUUUUGUUUUAAAAACCCAUCUUACACCUAUCACCUUGCGAUGCUUAGGCCUUUCAAUCAACUGCCAUGUUGCAUUUUUGUUGAUCAUUUCCAUUUCUGCCUCCAUUGCUCUCCUCCAUGCUGGAAAUUCUUGAGCUUCAGUAUAGCUGGUUGGUUCUAGAAUUGCCAUGUUGCAUCUUAGGUGAAUAUCUUCCAAUGAUCUUGUGCCUCUAACUGGAAAGUCAUCCACUGAUUCAUCAGCUACCAGCUGAGGUUGAAUGGUGAAUGGUUGAUCAGAAAUCAUAUUUUUCUGAUGUUCCCAAUCCCAUGUGAUUGCUUCAUCAACCUUCACAUCUCUGCUGAGAAUUACCUUCUCUGUUUGUAAGCAAAGGAUUCUGUAUCCUUUGGUAGUUAUUCCAUAGCCCACAAGAACUCCCUUCUGAGCUUUGUUGUCAAGUUUGCUCCUCUUUGGCUCAGCUAUAUGAUAAUAGCAUAUGCUGCCAAAGAUUCGAAGAUGAUCUACAGCAGGUUUGACACCAUUCCAGCCUUCAUAUGGUGUCUUGUCCUCCAUUGCUUUGGUUGGAAGUCGGUUCAGCAAGUAAACAGAGGUAUUGACUGCCUCUGCCCAUAAUUUGUUUGGCAUUUUCUUUUCAAGUAAGAGACAUCUAGCCAUCUCCAUUACUGUUCUGUUCUUCCUCUCACACACACCAUUUUGUUGUGGUGUGUAUGGUGUAGUGUACUGGUGCACAAUGCCUCUGCUGUUGCAAAACUCAAGAAACUGAUUUGAGGUAUAUUCAGUACCAUUGUCAGAUCUUAAGCAUUUAAUUAGCAUGUCACUUUGAUUCUCAACUAAAGCUUUGAAUGUUUGAAAGAUUGUAAAUACUUCACUCUUAAAUUUGAUGAAAUACACCCAACACAUCCUAGUAUAAUCAUCAAUGAAGAGAAUAAAAUACUUGUUACCACAUAAUGAGGCUGUCUUCAUAGGUCCACACACAUCAGUGUGGAUGAGCUGAAGCUUUUGGCUGGCUCUCCCUGCUUGCCCUUUAGGAAAUGGUGGUCUGGAUUGCUUGCCAAGUUGACAUGUUUCACACAAUUGAAGCUCACCAUUCAAUGUAGGCAAUGCUUCAACCAUUUCCUUUUGUUUCAGAAUUGACAAACCCUUUUGAUUGAAAUGGCCAAAUCUUUUAUGCCAAAGAUUUGAAAUAUCCUGAGUAGCACUCACAUAUGCAUGAUUGGAUACUUUAUCCCAGUCAACAACAAAGCUUCUGUUUUUCAUCUUUACACAGAACACUUGUUCUCCAGAAGGAUCAAAGAUAGUGCAUUUAUGAUCCUUAAACUGAAGAGAAUAGUUUUUCUCCAUCAUUUGUCCAACACUCAACAAAUUUUGACUGAUUUCAGAAAUUCUCCAUUGCCAACCUUUACUCUGGAUUUGUAAGAUUCAUCAAGGGUUUUGAACAUUCCAGCAUCAUUGCACAAAUGGUGUGUGCAUCCACUAUCGAUAAGCCAAGUAUCAGCUGAAUCAUUUGUUGAGAAACAAGUGACAGCAAAGAAUUGCUCCUCCUGUGUAUCAACUUCAUCCGCAAAGUGAGCUUGUUGAGGUUUUGGGUCUGAAUUUUUAAACUUGCAGACCUUUGUGAUGUGCCCUGAUUGCUUGCAAUUUCCACAAAUUGCAUCUGGCCUCCACCAGCAAUAUUUUUCUAAAUGUGUGUUUCUUUUGCAGUGAGUGCAAGGAGGAAACUUCUUCUGUUUUGAACCUUCACUGGUGCUGCCCCCUUCAUUUUUGCCUUUACUUCUCAGAUUAAGCAACUUCUUUCCUUUUACAGCUUGUUGUUUUUGCACAUAAAAGGCUCCUUCUGUCAAUCUGUCUUGCCUGAUUGUUCUUCGUUGCUCCUGUGCUUGAAGAGCACUCAUUAGUUCACCUAAUGAGAUUUUACUAAGGUCCUUUGAUUCUUCCAGAGAAGAGAUUUUGGAUUCAAACCUCUCAGGAAGAGUCACAAGAACCUUCUCCACAAUCCUGCUGUCAGGAAAGUCUUCUCCAAGUAAUCUGAUGUUGUUGAUAAUUAGUGAAAUUCGAUCAGAAUACUUGGAGAUUGUUUCAUCUUCUUGCAUGCUAAGUGCCUCAAAAUCUCUCUUCAAAUUCAGCACUUGCAUUUGCCUUGUUCUGUCACUGCCUUGGUAUUCUUCUUUUAGUUUGUUCCAAGCCUCUUUGGCUGAAUUGCAUGCCAUAAUUCUGUAGAAAAUGCUUUCUGCCACAGAAUUCUGGAUGAUUGAUUUUGCCUUGGAUUUCUUUGCCUUUUCCUCAUUGCUGAACUUGAUUUGAGCUAUAGUGGGAUUUGUUGGUAAGGGAGCUACUGGUUUGUCUUCGGAAACAAUUUCCCAAAGAUCAUAAGCUUCAAGAAAAGCUUGCAUCUUCACUGACCAAAUGUGGUAGUUUUCGCCAGUGAAUAUAAUAGGGGAGUUUAAAAGUAGGUUGUUGGAUGUCAUUUUUGAGAUUUGAAAAAAAAUGUUUUGGUCCUGUAAGAUCUAAGAGAGCUCUGAUACCACUGUUGAGAAUUAUAUUGCUGUGUUUUGUGCAGGUGAAGGGAUGCACAAUCAAGAACAACAAUGCUGAGUAAUGAAGAACACGAACUACACACAAGGUGUUUGAUAAAAUGUCUCAGUGAGUAUUUCAUUAACUGCAUGUCUUUAAAUACAUGAGAAAACUUAACAAACUUCCCUAGUUAACAGCCACUAACUCUGUAGUGGACAAUGUGCUACCACUAACUCUGUAGUGGACAAUGUGUUUCCACUAACUUAGCAACAACUUCAGAAAACAAGGGAUUUACUUUGACCAAAUCAAAACAGAAAUGAAAAGAAAAGAAAACAGACAAUACUUGAUUUAGACAAA
This is a long non-coding RNA of Populus nigra (black poplar), 3754 nucleotides long. RefSeq lists it as uncharacterized. The transcript has 2 exons. The record is from RefSeq and is a predicted model, not a curated record. NCBI's taxonomy places the organism in Eukaryota, Viridiplantae, Streptophyta, Magnoliopsida, Malpighiales, Salicaceae.